AGUAUACAGUCGAGUCUUCUGGAAAAAUUAUAUCGAAACCGAUCCAACUUGGAGACAAUUUUUAGGAUCAUAGACAGUGAUCAUUCAGGAUUUAUCUCCCUGGAUGAGUUCAGACAGACUUGGAAGCUCUUCAGCUCCCAUAUGAACAUCGACAUUACAGAUGACAACAUCUGUGACCUAGCCAGGAGCAUAGACUUCAACAAGGAUGGCCACAUCGACAUCAACGAGUUCCUGGAGGCCUUCCGCCUCGUGGAGCAGUCCUGCUCAGAGGACCAUGCCUCUGCUUGCCUGCAAUCCACAGACACUGCGGAGAGUGGCCAAAGCAGUCUUGGUGCAUGCUGAGGACAGCCUGCUCUUUAUCACCUCCAGUGCCUAUAGGCAAUGACAAGUGUAUGAGUCCACAUAGAUUUGGGAGAUUUUAUGCUGAGAAUUUGCUAAUAUCAGGCAUUGGAAUAAAGAAUCAACUGCCUGUUUGCUGGUGGGUGGGCUAGGCCUGGUGUGGUGUGUGUGUGUGUGUGUGUGUGUGGUGUGUGUGUUGUGUCUCUGUGUCUGUGUGUGUACACACAGUGAUCCCAACCUCAUCUCAGAAUCUUUACAAAGUAGAUUUCAGGUGUAGGUAUGUUUAAACUCUAAAAUCUACUCUAGCUAUCACUGAUGAUUUAAUACUCUCAUUGCUUACAUUUUAUACCUCGUAUUUAUUGUUUUAAAAAUGUCAAGGUGUUAUGGGAAAGCAUUUUUUAUUGUAUAUAAUCAUGAUUCCAACAAACAUUUUUUUUAUUAUGUACUUUGUCUUCAUAUAAUUAUAGAGUUUCUCUGAUUUUAUGUUCACAUUUUUAAAUAAAUUACCCUAGUUGUACAUGC
Molecule: non-coding RNA, 861 nt
Organism: Cricetulus griseus (Chinese hamster)
Lineage: Eukaryota; Metazoa; Chordata; Mammalia; Rodentia; Cricetidae
Source: RefSeq, a predicted model, not a curated record